AUUGUGUCAGCCGCCGCGCGGUAAUACAGAGGGUGCAAGCGUUGUUCGGAUUUACUGGGCGUAAAGCGUGCGUAGGUUGUAUUGAGAGUCGCGGGUGAAAUCCCAGGGCUUAACCCUGGAACUGCUGCGAGACCUCAGUACUGGAGUGUGAGAGAGGAUAGUGGAAUUCCUGGUGUAGCGGUGAAAUGCGUAGAGAUCAGGAGGAACACCUGUGGCGAAGGCGGCUAUCUGGCUCAUAACUGACACUGAGGCACGAAAGCGUGGGUAGCAAACAGGAUUAGAUACCCUGGUAGUCCACGCCGUAAACGAUGCACACUAGGCGUAGCGGAAUUUCAAUUCUGCUGUGUCGAAGCUAACGCGAUAAGUGUGCCGCCUGGGGAGUACGGUCGCAAGACUAAAACUCAAAGGAAUUGACGGGGGCCCGCACAAGCGGUGGAUUAUGUGGUUUAAUUCGAAGCAACGCGAAGAACCUUACCUGGGUUUGACAUCCCUUGACAUCCCUAGAAAUAGGGCUUUGUAGCAAUACACAAGGAGACAGGUGCUGCAUGGCUGUCGUCAGCUCGUGUUGUGAAAUGUUGGGUUAAGUCCCGCAACGAGCGCAACCCCUGCGGUUUGUUGCCAGCAUUAAGUUGGGCACUCUAACCGGACCGCCGGCGUUAAGCCGGAGGAAGGUGGGGAUGACGUCAAGUCCUCAUGGCCCUUACACCCAGGGCUACACACGUAAUACAAUGGAUCUGGACAAAGGGACGCGAACCGGCGACGGGGAGCUAAUCUCAAAAACCAGUCCUCAGUUGGGAUUGGAGGCUGCAAUUCGCCUCCAUGAACGCGGAAUCGCUAGUAAUCGUGGAUCAGAACGCCACGGUGAAUACGUUCCCGGGCCUUGCACACACCGCCCGUCAAAU
This 902-nucleotide ribosomal RNA is filed under the name uncultured bacterium. RNAcentral's name for it is "bacterial SSU rRNA". It matches the Rfam family "Bacterial small subunit ribosomal RNA", at positions 502 to 1402 of the family's 1533-position model. The record is from RNAcentral.